This 425-nucleotide ribosomal RNA is filed under the name uncultured bacterium. Its description in RNAcentral is "partial 16S ribosomal RNA". It matches the Rfam family "Bacterial small subunit ribosomal RNA", at positions 354 to 796 of the family's 1533-position model. The record is from RNAcentral.
GUAAGGAAUAUUGGACAAUGGGGGAAACCCUGAUCCAGCCAUGCCGCGUGAGUGAAGAAGGCCUUCGGGUUGUAAAGCUCUUUCAGAUGUGAAGAUGAUGACGGUAACAUCAGAAGAAGCUCCGGCUAACUUCGUGCCAGCAGCCGCGGUAAUACGAAGGGAGCGAGCGUUGUUCGGAAUCACUGGGCGUAAAGAGUGCGUAGGCGGUUAUACAAGUCAGGAGUGAAAUCCCAGGGCUCAACCCUGGAAUUGCUUUUGAAACUGUAUAGCUAGAGUCCCGGAGGGUUUAAUGGAAUUCCGAGUGUAGAGGUGAAAUUCGCAGAUAGUCGGAGGAACACCAGUGGCGAAGGCGAUUAACUGGACGGGCACUGACGCUGAGGCACGAAAGCGUGGGGAUCAAACAGGAUUAGAUACCCGUGUAGUCC